Molecule: unclassified non-coding RNA, 240 nt
Filed under: soil metagenome
Description: partial contains 5.8S ribosomal RNA, internal transcribed spacer 2, and large subunit ribosomal RNA
Source: RNAcentral
AACAUCGCGCACCUGCGGGAACCUGCGGAAGGAUCAUUACCGAGUGAGGGCCCUCCGGGUCCAACCUCCCACCCGUGUUUAACGAGCCUUGUUGCUUCGGCGGGCCCGCCUCACGGCCGCCGGGGGGCACCCCGCCCCCGGGCCCGCGCCCGCCGAAGACACCUGUGAACGCUGUCUGAAGUUGCAGUCUGAGACACUAGCUCAAUCAGUUAAAACUUUCAACAAUGGAUCUCAGAUCGG